This 253-nucleotide ribosomal RNA is filed under the name uncultured bacterium. RNAcentral describes it as "partial 16S ribosomal RNA". It matches the Rfam family "Bacterial small subunit ribosomal RNA", at positions 524 to 776 of the family's 1533-position model. The record is from RNAcentral.
UACGAAGGGGGCUAGCGUUGUUCGGAAUUACUGGGCGUAAAGGGCUCGUAGGUGGCCAACUAAGUCAGACGUGAAAUCCCUCGGCUUAACCGGGGAACUGCGUCUGAUACUGGAUGGCUUGAGUUUGGGAGAGGGAUGCGGAAUUCCAGGUGUAGCGGUGAAAUGCGUAGAUAUCUGGAGGAACACCGGUGGCGAAGGCGGCAUCCUGGACCGACACUGACACUGAGGAGCGAAAGCCAGGGGAGCAAACGGG